AAUAGAUACCCAGGUAGUCCAUGCCGUAAACGUUGGGCACUAGGUGUGGGGGACAUUCCACGUUUUCCGCGCCGUAGCUAACGCAUUAAGUGCCCCGCCUGGGGAGUACGGCCGCAAGGCUAAAACUCAAAGGAAUUGACGGGGGCCCGCACAAGCGGCGGAGCAUGCGGAUUAAUUCGAUGCAACGCGAAGAACCUUACCAAGGCUUGACAUGUUCCAGACCGGGCUAGAGAUAGUCCUUCCCUUCGGGGCUGGUUCACAGGUGGUGCAUGGUUGUCGUCAGCUCGUGUCGUGAGAUGUUGGGUUAAGUCCCGCAACGAGCGCAACCCUCGUUCCAUGUUGCCAGCACGUAGUGGUGGGGACUCAUGGGAGACUGCCGGGGUCAACUCGGAGGAAGGUGGGGAUGACGUCAAAUCAUCAUGCCCCUUAUGUCUUGGGCUUCACGCAUGCUACAAUGGCCGGUACAAUGGGUUGCGAUACUGUGAGGUGGAGCUAAUCCCUAAAAGCCGGUCUCAGUUCGGAUUGGGU
This 528-nucleotide ribosomal RNA is filed under the name uncultured bacterium. Its description in RNAcentral is "bacterial SSU rRNA". It matches the Rfam family "Bacterial small subunit ribosomal RNA", at positions 777 to 1303 of the family's 1533-position model. The record is from RNAcentral.